GGAAAUGUGGCUUAGUGGUAGAGUGCAUGCCUAGUAUGCAUGAAGCCAUGGAUUUGAUUUCUCAGUACCA
This 70-nucleotide transfer RNA is filed under the name Dipodomys ordii (Ord's kangaroo rat). It matches the Rfam family "tRNA". From Rfam's summary of the family: Transfer RNA (tRNA) molecules are approximately 80 nucleotides in length. The record is from Rfam by way of RNAcentral. Lineage: Eukaryota; Metazoa; Chordata; Mammalia; Rodentia; Heteromyidae.